AUAAGGGCGUACGGUGGAUGCCUAGACACCAAACAACGAUGUAGGACGUAGUAGUCUGCGAUAAGCUUCGGCGAGGUGACAAACAACCUUUGACCCGGAGAUUUCCGAAUGGGGGAACCCAACUUGAGUAAUAUUGAGUUAUCACAUAUUGAAUAUAUAGAUAUGUGAGGAAGACCUAGCGAAGUGAAACAUCUCAGUAGCUAGAGGAAAAGAGAACAUUAAAAAGCUCCAUCUUCGGAUGGAGUGUGAUUCCCCUAGUAGCGGCGAGCGAACGGGGAGAAGCCCAAACCCACUCUAUGAAACUUUAAGAUUUCGAGUGUCUUCGGACACGAGAAUAUUGAAGCGAAAGGUCAGGCCCUUGUAGAGUGAGGGGUUGUAGGAUGCAACAUCAGCUACCUGAUAUGCUGGUUAUGUGUGAGAUUUAUAGCUGAAAAUUUCUGGAAAGAAAUUCCAUAGAGGGUGAUAGACCCGUAAGCGAAAUAUUUCUUGCAUGUAAGUUUGUACUCCUGAGUACGGCGGGACACGUGAAAUCCUGUCGGAAUCUACCGUGACUAUGCGGUAAGGCUAAAUAUGUUUGGUGAUCGAUAGUGAACUAGUACCAUGAGGGAAAGGUGAAAAGCAGCCUGGAAAGGCGGUGAAAUAGAUCCUGAAACCGUACGCUUACAAAGAGCUAGAGCCCUAGUCACCUUCGGGUGGCAGGGUCAUAGUGUUCCUAUUGAAGAAUGAGCCUGCGAGUUACUAGCUAUGGCAAGCUUAAGGGCCUUUGGUCCGAAUGCAUAGGGAAACCGAGUCUUAAUAGGGCGAAUAAGUCGUAGUUAGUAGACCCGAAACCGAGUGAGCAAUCCAUGACCAGGUUGAACUUCCAUGAUAAAUGGAAGGGAGGACCGAACACACGCGCCGUGCAACACGCGGUGAUGAGUUGUGGAUAGCGGAGAAAUUCUAAUCGAACUCGGUAAUAGCUGGUUCUCCUCGAAAUAGCUUUACGGCUAGCUGUAUAUGUUCCUACUGGGGGUAGAGCACUGGAUGUGGAUGGGGCGGUUUACUGUACCCACUACAAUCAAACUCCGAAUACCAGUAGUCAAUAGUAUGCAAGUUAGACUAUGGGGGCUAAGCUUCAUAGUCGAAAGGGAAACAGCCCAGAUCGCAAAUUAAGGUCCCUAAAUCAAUACUAAGUGUAAAAGGUGGUGAUAAUUCUCAUACAACCAGGAGGUUGGCUUAGAAGCAGCCAUCCUUUAAAGAAAGCGUAAUAGCUCACUGGUCAAGAGUUUUUGCACCGACAAUGUACCGGGGCUAAGUAUUGUACCGAAAUUGCGAAUGUGUAAUCACUGAGGUGAUUAUAUGUGGUAGAGGAGCGUUCCUAUUGCACUGAAGUCGGACCCGUGAGGGCCGGUGGAGCGAUGGGAAGUGAGAAUGCAGGCACUAGUAGCAAGAAUGAAGGUGAGAAUCCUUCACGCCGAAAAUCCAAGGUUUCCAGGGCAACGAGAAUCGUCCCUGGGUUAGUCGAUCCUAAGGUGAGGCCGAAAGGCGUAGUCGAUGGAAGAGCAGGUUAAUAUUCCUGCACUUGGUAUAGUUUGUUUAUGUAUGUGCAUAUCAAAGGUCUGAACGUUGUAUGGCUACACGUUUCGCAAGAUAGAGGCAGAGUCUCCGGACAAAGCCGAUUCAGAUUAGAGAUGUGCCUAGAAAAGUACAUAAACGCUAGGCUAUAUCAAUCCGUACCGCAAACCGACACAGGUGGAUAGGUCGAGAAGACCAAGGCGCACGAGAGAAACAUUGGUUAAGGAACUCGGCAAAACAGCGGCCGUAACUUCGGGAUAAGGCCUCCCCAACUUCGGUUGGGGUCAACAAAAGAUAUCACGCGACUGUUUACCAAAAACACAGCUCCCUGCUAAAUCGUAAGAUGAUGUAUAGGGGGUGAUGCCUGGCCAGUGUCAGAACGUUAAGGGGAUGGGUUAUUUCUUCGGAAAGAAGCUUUGAACUGAAGCGCUGAUGAACGCCGGCGGUAACUAUAACCGUCCUAAGGUAGCGAAAUUCCUUGUCGGGUGAGUUCCGACCCGCACGAAUGGCAUAACGGUGUGAUAACUGUCUUAACCAUGUACUCGGCGAAAAUGCAGUUGUCGUGAAGAUGCGACAUUCCCGCAGCAAGACGAAAAGACCCCAUGAAGCUUUACUACAGUUUGAUACUGAUACAGUGCUUCAUAUGUUCAGCAUAGGUGGGAGCCCUCGGGCACCAAUGAGAUACCACCCUUAUGCUGUACUGUAUCUAACCAUUUUGGCUGAAUCGUCUUAAUGGGACAGUAUCUGAUGGGUAGUUUAACUGGGGCGGUUGCCUCCUAAACAGUAACGGAGGCGUUUACAAAGGUUGGCUUGGACCGGAUGGAAAUCGGUCUGGACGUGCAAACGCAUAAGCCAGCUUUACUGCAAGGGCUAUCACCCGCGCAGUUACGAAAGUAGAAGUUAGUGAUCCGACCGUGGGACAUAGGACCGCGGAAGCUCAACAGAUAAAAGUUACUCUGGGGAUAACAGGCUGAUCCUGCCUAAGCGUCCAUAGCGACGGCAGGGUUUGGCACCUCGAUGUCGGCUCGUCGCAUCCUGGGGGUGAAGAAGCUCCCAAGGGUUAGGCUGUUCGCCUAUUAAAGCGGCACGCGAGCUGGGUUCAGAACGUCGUGAGACAGUUCGGUCUCCUAUCUGCUGUGGGCGUCGAAUAUUGAAUGGGCUCAUCCCUAGUACGAGAGGACCGGGAUGGACGAACCUCUUGUGUACCAGUUGUCCUGCCAAGGGCAUAGCUGGGUAGCGAAGUUCGGUUUGGAUAAGCGCUGAAAGCAUCUAAGCGCGAAGCCGUCCAUGAGAUUAAUAUUCAUUUGAGGUACCUUCGAGACGAGGAGGUUGAUAGGCACUAGGUGUAAGCUCUAACGAGUGUAGCCGAGGUGUACUAAUUUACCAAGCGCACUGUGA
RNAcentral lists this ribosomal RNA (2952 nucleotides) under marine metagenome. RNAcentral's name for it is "bacterial LSU rRNA". It matches the Rfam family "Bacterial large subunit ribosomal RNA". The record is from RNAcentral.